CGGCAACAGCUCAAAUUUGAAAUCUGGUACCUUCGGUGCCCGAGUUGUAAUUUGUAGAGGGUGUCUCGGGGGGAGUACCGGUCCAAGUCCCUUGGAACAGGAUGUCAUAGAGGGUGAGAACCCCGUAUCCGGCUGGCUACUCUCUCCAUGUGAGACCCCUUCGAC
Molecule: ribosomal RNA, 165 nt
Filed under: Veronaeopsis sp.
Lineage: Eukaryota; Fungi; Ascomycota; Dothideomycetes; Venturiales; Sympoventuriaceae
Description: partial large subunit ribosomal RNA
Rfam family: Eukaryotic large subunit ribosomal RNA
Source: RNAcentral